UUAAGAAAGCAAGAGCGCACGGUGGAUGCCUAGGCACUAAUAGGCGAAGAAGGACGCGACUAACAGCGAAAUGCUACGGGGAGCAGUAAGUAGGCAAAGAUCCGUAGGUAUCCGAAUGGGGAAACCCACUAGUUAGAAGAGCUAGUAUUGAAUAAUGAAUAGAUAGUUAUUCAAGGCGAACCCGGGGAACUGAAACAUCUAAGUACCCGGAGGAAAAGAGAACAAAAGUAAUUCCCUAAGUAGAGGCGAUUGAAAGGGGAGGAGCCCAGCACCAUGAAGAGUUAGAAAAUCUUUUUAUAGUAGAAUUGUAUUGGAAAAGCAAGACAAAGAAGGUGAAAUCCCUGUAUACGAAAUAAAGAGAUCUCGGUGUCGGAGUAGGGCGGAGCACGAGGAAUUCUGUCUGAAUAAGUGAGGACCAUCUCAUAAGGCUAAAUACUCAUUAGUGACCGAUAGUGAACCAGUACUGUGAAGGAAAGGUGAAAAGAACCCCUGGCGGGGAGUGAAAAGAACCUGAAACCGUGUGCUUACAAACAGUUAGAGCCCGUCAAAGGGUGAUAGCGUGCCUUUUGUAGAAUGAGCCGGCGAGUUACGUUAAUGUGCGAGGUUAAGUUUUAAGGGACGGAGCCGAAGCGAAAGCGAGUCUGAAGAGGGCGAAAUAGUAGAUUGACGUAUACCCGAAACCGGGUGAUCUAGCCAUGAGCAGGUUGAAGCUUGGGUAAAACCAGGUGGAGGACCGAACCAGGGUCUGUUGAAAAAGACUUGGAUGACUUGUGGCUAGGGGUGAAAUUCCAAUCGAACCCGGAGAUAGCUGGUUCUCCCCGAAAUAGCUUUAGGGCUAGCGUUAUGGAGAAGAGUUAUACGAAGGUAGAGCACUGAAUGGGUGAGGGCCUCAUCUCGAGGUACUGAUCUCAAUCAAACUCCGAAUGUCGUAUAAUAUACAUAGCAGUAAGACUAUGGGUGAUAAGGUUCAUAGUCAAAAGGGAAACAGCCCAGACCGCCAGUUAAGGUCCCAAAAUUAUGCUAAGUGGGAAAGGAGGUGGAGUCGCAUAGACAACUAGGAGGUUGGCUUAGAAGCAGCCAUCCUUUAAAGAGUGCGUAAUAGCUCACUAGUCGAGUGAUUCUGCGCCGAAAAUGUAUCGGGGCUAAGCAUAAUACCGAAGCUGCGGGAUUAGACAAAGAGUCUAAUCGGUAGGGGAGCGUACUAAACGCGAAGAAGGUUGACCGGAAGGGCAGCUGGAGAGUUUAGCAGUGAGAAUGCCGGUGUGAGUAGCGAUAAGAUGGGUGAGAAUCCCAUCCGUCGGAAGCCUAAGGGUUCCAGGGGUAAGGCUCGUCCGCCCUGGGUAAGUCGGGACCUAAGGUGAGGCCGAAAGGCGUAGCCGAUGGAUAUCAGGUUGAUAAUCCUGGACCACCGUAGAGCUGAAGGAGUGACGGAGGAGGGAAGUUAGGAUGGACUGGUGGAAUAGUCUAAUGAAGCACAAAGAGGGAUACGUAGGAAAAGCCGCGUAUUGAAACCUUGAAGUGUAAACCGCAAGGCCUAAUGGACCACACUUCCAAGAAAAGCUUCUAGGAGUACUUUAUGGUGCCCGUACCGUAAACGGACACACGUAGGCGAGGAGAGAAUCCAAAGACGCGCGAGAUAAUUCUUGUUAAGGAACUCUGCAAAAUGACCCUGUAACUUCGGGAUAAAGGGGACUCUAGAGAUAGAGGCGCAGAAAAUAGGCCCAAGCGACUGUUUAACAAAAACAUAGGUUUCUGCUAAAGCGAAAGCUGAUGUAUAGGAGCUGACGCCUGCCCAGUGCUGGAAGGUUAAGAGGAGAUGUAAGUCGCAAGGCAAAGCAUUGAAUUGAAGCCCCAGUAAACGGCGGCCGUAACUAUAACGGUCCUAAGGUAGCGAAAUUCCUUGUCAGGUAAGUUCUGACCCGCACGAAAGGCGUAACGAUUUGGGCGCUGUCUCAACAAGAAACUCGGUGAAAUCAUAGUACCUGUGAAGAUGCAGGUUACCCGCGAUCAGACGGAAAGACCCCAUGGAGCUUCACUGCAGCUUAAUAUUGAUAUUGGGUGUGUGAUGUACAGGAUAGGUGGGAGACGAAGAAGCGAGUACGCUAGUAUUCGUGGAGUCAACGUUGGGAUACCACCCUUCAUACAUUUAGUAUCUAACUAGUAUCCAUAAUCUGGGUAUAGAACAGUGUUAGGUGGGCAGUUUGACUGGGGCGGUCGCCUCCCAAAGAGUA
Molecule: ribosomal RNA, 2231 nt
Filed under: human gut metagenome
Description: bacterial LSU rRNA
Rfam family: Bacterial large subunit ribosomal RNA
Source: RNAcentral